GUUGCUUCAUAAUGGUGAACUCUCUCAAUAUUAAAUGGGAGAAAUUCAAGUUUCCGGAGCAUAAAUUGAAUAUUUAUAUCGCCAGUAUUAAACAGCUCGAUGUGUAUACAAUCACAUCGACGUUACCUGUCUCCUGGCACAUUU
This is a small nucleolar RNA of Cynara cardunculus var. scolymus (artichoke), 144 nucleotides long. RefSeq annotates it as small nucleolar RNA snoR137. NCBI's taxonomy places the organism in Eukaryota, Viridiplantae, Streptophyta, Magnoliopsida, Asterales, Asteraceae. The transcript has a single exon. The record is from RefSeq and is a predicted model, not a curated record.